UACAGAGGGUGCGAGCGUUAAUCGGAAUUACUGGGCGUAAAGCGCGCGUAGGCGGCUUUGCAAGUCGGGUGUGAAAUCCCCGGGCUCAACCUGGGAACUGCAUCUGUGACUGCAUAGCUAGAGUACGGUAGAGGGGGAUGGAAUUCCGCGUGUAGCAGUGAAAUGCGUAGAUAUGCGGAGGAACACCGAUGGCGAAGGCAAUCCCCUGGACCUGUACUGACGCUCAUGCACGAAAGCGUGGGGAGCAAACAGG
RNAcentral lists this ribosomal RNA (253 nucleotides) under uncultured bacterium. RNAcentral's name for it is "partial 16S ribosomal RNA". It matches the Rfam family "Bacterial small subunit ribosomal RNA", at positions 524 to 776 of the family's 1533-position model. The record is from RNAcentral.